RNAcentral lists this ribosomal RNA (253 nucleotides) under uncultured bacterium. RNAcentral describes it as "partial 16S ribosomal RNA". It matches the Rfam family "Bacterial small subunit ribosomal RNA", at positions 524 to 776 of the family's 1533-position model. RNAcentral also lists the same sequence under 1 other name. The record is from RNAcentral.
UACGGAGGAUGCAAGCGUUAUCCGGAAUGAUUGGGCGUAAAGCGUCCGCAGGUGGCUUAUCAAGUCGAUUGUCAAAGGUCCUGGCUCAACUGGGAACAGGCAGUGGAAACUGAAAAGCUAGAGUGCGGUAGGGGUAGAGGGAAUUCCCGGUGUAGCGGUGAAAUGCGUAGAGAUCGGGAAGAACACCAGUGGCGAAAGCGCUCUACUAGGCCUGCACUGACACUCAUGGACGAAAGCUAGGGGAGCGAAUGGG